This 343-nucleotide ribosomal RNA is filed under the name uncultured bacterium. Its description in RNAcentral is "bacterial SSU rRNA". It matches the Rfam family "Bacterial small subunit ribosomal RNA", at positions 355 to 695 of the family's 1533-position model. The record is from RNAcentral.
UAGGGAAUAUUGGACAAUGGGUGAGAGCCUGAUCCAGCCAUGCCGCGUGCAGGAAGAAGGCGUUAUGCGUUGUAAACUGCUUUUUGCCAGGGGAUAAAAAGACCGUGCGCGGUUAAUUGAAGGUACCUGGUGAAUAAGCCACGGCUAACUACGUGCCAGCAGCCGCGGUAAUACGUAGGUGGCAAGCGUUGUCCGGAUUUAUUGGGUUUAAAGGGUGCGUAGGUGGCCCUGUAAGUCAGUGGUGAAAUAUCUCAGCUUAACUGAGAGGGUGCCAUUGAUACUGCAGGGCUUGAGUACAGAUGAGGUAGGCGGAAUUGACGGUGUAGCGGUGAAAUGCAUAGAU